Molecule: non-coding RNA, 153 nt
Filed under: uncultured Roseburia sp.
Lineage: Bacteria; Bacillati; Bacillota; Clostridia; Lachnospirales; Lachnospiraceae
Description: FMN riboswitch (RFN element)
Rfam family: FMN riboswitch aptamer (RFN element)
About the family: The RFN element is a highly conserved domain that is found frequently in the 5'-untranslated regions of prokaryotic mRNAs that encode for flavin mononucleotide (FMN) biosynthesis and transport proteins. This element is a metabolite-dependent riboswitch that directly binds FMN in the absence of proteins.
Source: RNAcentral
UUCUUCGGGGCAGGGUGAUGCUAACAUAGCAGAUUCCCGACCGACGGUGAUUCGAACAGGCUGUAAAUAGCCUGCGAAAGUCCGUGACCCGCAUAAAGCGGCUGAUCCGGUGCGAUUCCGGAACCGACAGUAUAGUCUGGAUGAGAGAAGAUG